ACUGUAGGCAUGCACCACUGAAGCCAGCUCAUGUUUCAUUUUUUAAAUCCUGACUUUUAAAAAAAUAUUUACCAGAAGCCCAAACCUCACCAUAAUCCUGAUUUUUUUUCUCAUUUUUCUUAAUUAUGUUUGCCAGUGUUUGUCUAUUUUAUUAGUCUUUGCAUAGACCAUCUAUUACGUUGCUCUGAAUUUCUCAUUAAGGUGUGUAACUUUUACUCCUUGUGUAAUCAGCAGAUACCUGACAUUCUCUAUUUCUCCUUCUAGAAAUGUGAUACCUCAAAGCACAAAGUGCUGGUAGUGUCUGUGUGUCCUCAAUCUUUGCCUUAUUUUGCUGCUAAAUUCAACCUCAGUGUAACUGAUGCAUCCAGAAGACUCUGUGGUUUCCUCAAAAGUCUUGGGGUGCACUAUGUAUUUGACACGACAAUAGCUGCAGAUUUUAGUAUCCUGGAGAGUCAAAAAGAAUUCGUGCGUCGCUAUCGCCAGCACAGUGAGGAGGAACGCACCCUGCCCAUGCUGACCUCUGCCUGUCCUGGCUGGGUCCGAUACGCCGAGCGGGUGCU
Molecule: small RNA, 560 nt
Filed under: Pan troglodytes (chimpanzee)
Lineage: Eukaryota; Metazoa; Chordata; Mammalia; Primates; Hominidae
Description: retained intron
Source: RNAcentral